Long non-coding RNA from Silurus meridionalis, 4085 nucleotides. RefSeq lists it as uncharacterized. Lineage: Eukaryota; Metazoa; Chordata; Actinopteri; Siluriformes; Siluridae. The record is from RefSeq and is a predicted model, not a curated record. The transcript is spliced from 3 exons.
AUUUGUUAAUUAAAGAAAACUGUUUAAAUGACUGCUUUAUUUAUUUGUCUUUUUUUAAAGACUUGUUUGGCCUAUUUUAAAUAUGCAUUACAUGGUGUUGAAGUAUGGAACAGAAGCAAUGCUGGUUCAUAAGGCUUAUUGACUGUUGCCACAGGUCAGAUCUGAUAGCUCAGUGGGUAAGUUGUAGGUUUACCAUUCAGCCGGUCUCCACAAGUUUGGUGUUUUAACCCCUGCCAUCGCCAAGGGAAAAUGUUAACUUUCCUUUUGAAAUCUAAUAGUUUGUCGAUGUUUUAACAUUAAACUGUAAAUCUAUUUGUUAAUUAAAGAGACCUGUUCAAAAUAUUGCUUUAUUUAUUUUUUUUUUUGAAGACUUGCUUUGCCUACUUUUAAUAUAAGUUACAUGGUGUUGAAGUAUGUAAAAGAAGCCAUGUUGGUUCAUUAGGCUUAUUGACUGCUUGGAUACACGGGAGCAGGUAGCUCAGUGGGUUAGUUGUUGGUAUACCGUUUAGCAUGUUCACACAAGGUUGUGGGUUCAAGCCCCACCAUCGCCACGGUAAGAUUUCUCUUUUGAAAUCUAAUAGUUUGUCUAUUUUGUGACAUUAAACUGUAAAUUUAUUUGUUACUUUGAGAAACCUGUUCAAAAGAUUGCUUUAUUUCUUUGUCUUUUUUGAAAUACUUGUUUGGCCUACUUUUAAUAUAAGUUACAUGGUGUUGAAGUAUGGAAAGAAGCCAUGUUGGUACAUUAGGCUUAUUGACCGCUUGGACCCGUGGGAGCAGGUAGCUCAGUGGGUAAGAUGUUGGGUUACCGAUCAGCAGGUCCCCACAACGUUGAGGUUUCAAGGUUCUAGUUCAUUGGUGAACAGUGGAACCAAAGAAUACUCUUCAUUGAACACAGACACUGGACAGUCUUCUACAUCUGACAAACAUGACAGUGGCGAAUCAUCUUCACCAAUUAAUUCAAAUGUGGAGGUCAUGAUGCUUGAGUUGAAAAGGGAUGGUGGAAGCAGUUCACAGUGUGGCUGGUUUGAAUGAAGAGACAAGCACUUACAAAACACCAUCUUUAGCACUGAAGCUUGGGCACAACCUCAAGAAUAUGGCAAACAUUAUUGAAUGGAAUGUGAGGCGAUGAUGUCCGCUGAUAAGAACACCUUUAGCAAUGUGCAAGCCUUUAAACAAAUCUGCAAAACUAAAUGGAGUGAGUGUGUCUCAUUCCAGGCCCUCUGAAAUUUGAGCAAGGCAAAGUGGAACUCUUUGCAACUUCUUCCCUUAUUAUUCGUCAGAUUAAUUAGUCUCGAAAUUCGUCUCAAAGCUGUGGAGCAGAACAACAGAAGCGUUAUCCUCCACUGGACUGAGAAAGCACAUGGCCACUAUGUCCAAGGUCCUUAAUUUGAAAGACAAUGAAAUGGAUGACCUUGCUGACUUUUUUAGGACACAACAUCAGGGUGCAUCGGCAGUACUACAGGCUACCUGAAGUUACAUUACAGCUGGCGAAGAUAAGUACAGUUCUUCUUGCUAUGGAGAGAGGACAACUAUCUCAAUUCAAAGUAAGGAAUCUAGAAACAAGGUAAAACAGGCCUGAGUAAAUAAAGAUGUUUUAAAAAUCUAAAAUUCCAUGUUAUGAUUAACAGGAACACCAUGUUGGUUAUAGAUUAUUUGAUGGAUGUAGCAGUUUAAAAAAUAUUUUUCCACUUAUUUAGCUGUAAUCAUUUUCCCUGUGGUUGCUGUGUUUACUAGAGAGAGUACUGAUGGACAAUUAAGGAUCAGACUCUGAAAAUGAUAAAGAAAACGAUGCUUCACCUCCACCCUCAAAUUCUGCAGCAUAUUUACAAAACCCAUGGAGAAACAGAGGAGGUCCAGGCUGUGGAAAAGACUCUAAUGGACUACAUCAGUUCUAGCAAGGUUCCUGUUAAAGGCCAGUGCAUGAAGUGCAUUGGAAAAUCCCCAGCAGCACUUCAAGGGAGAGGUUGGGAGGCAGUCAAAUUUAAUGUAAAAAAUCGCAUUGAUUCCAUGAAAUGAAAAAUGUAAAGGUAGAAAUCUUUAAUGGAUGUUUUUUUUUUUUCAUGUAUGUUAAAGGCAACAUGUUCAUAAACAUUUUAGUUCAAGGUGGUUGUUAAUAAUGGUUGUACAUCAAAUAUCUUCUACUUCUACCUAAUAUUUAUAUAGAUAUAUUAUAUAGCAAUAUAUCUCGCAACACAGUUGAUCACAUGCAUGUUCUGUUUUAAUUUAAAUAGAUUCCAGUAUGCACAGAUCAUUAUUUAUUUUAGACCAUGAUGGUGUAAAUGAACAUUAACAUUUCCUGCUUGUCAUAUAACAUGACUGUUGUAGAUACCAAAAUGUGGAACUUUGCAGACUCUCAGAAUUGAAGAGAAUUGAAUGUGUUAAACAGGAAGAGAGGUAAGGCUUUUUUACUGUUUACUUUCUUAGAAAUUGUCUAUUCAAAUACAAGAGGUAAUGGGAAACAGUGAAAAGCGAAAUAAUAAAAAAAAAAUAAAAAGAUAAAAACAGUUAAAUUCUCCCUUUUUAUCUUCAUCUUUGUUAAUGUUAUACACAGUUAUAAUUGCAUAUAAAUUGGAUAAUCUGCAGAUAAUGUAUAAUAGUGAUACCUAGAGGUGGUAAGAAAAAAUAGGGAUGUCCCCACCAGAAUAGAAAAAACUGACAAAAAUUUAGCUCUUUAAACUUGUGUAUUUCUGAAAAUAAAGAAAAAAAAAUUUGUGGCCUUAAUGUAUUUAGAAAUCGGUGUUCCCACGAGUAACCACCCAGUCAGGAGUCCCCACCAUGUAGCAAAAACAAGUAUGUGUGUGUGUGCGUGUGUGUGUGUGUGUGUGUGUGUGUGUGUGUGUGUGUGUGUGUGUUUGUGUUUGUGUUUGGUGUGUGCAGUCUCUGAACAAGGGCAACCCAAAGAAAGUGAGCAAGCCAUCACACCUUGUGACCUAGGAGGAAAAUUGGUGGAAAAUCUGGAUCAAAUUAGUGGCAGAUGGAUGACAUCACCUGGAGGCCAGAACAUGAGAUGAGUGCCUAGAUUGUGCAACCCCCCAUGACCCUGGUGUGACCCCUGUAACCUCACCAUACAAACCUCCCCUUAAUGUGUGAGACAAUGCUUUCUCUAUCAGUGAGGAGACAGCUGAGCACAGACACUCUCCCCGCUGGCGCUUGUUAAAACUACAACCAUGUGAACACUGAAGGCUCGGGUUGAGGGUCUCUCUCUCCCUCUCUCUUUACCUCCAAGGGAAGAAGAGGUAUGUAUUUACACCUGCAGCAGGAUGGACAGAGAAAAAGACUGGAAGGAGGAGGAACAUGGUGGUGUUUAGCUCAUAAAUCACAGCAGAGGUUGAAGCUUCAUCAUCUGCUGGCAUCCACAGAAAGAUGGACGAUGGUGCAGUGAGCAGCUUCUUUAAUUCAGCGAGCAAUCAGUGUGAUGGAAAACCUAUCGGGUGGACGCACAGCAACACCAGCGGCUACAUCACACUCACUCUCUUUAUAUUUAUGGAAGCAUUGUGCAUGUGAGUGUAGUGUAGUGCAAUAUAACAGUAUAACUGUAUAGCAUUACAAAGGUUUAAAGAUAAAUAUAACAUUACAGACUGGUAUUGUCAGUUUGUUAUGACUAUAAGAAAAAAAAAAAAAAAACUAUAAAAGAUGAAAAAAAAAAAAAAAAACUUGCAUGGCCUAAAAAAAAGAGACUUUGAAACUGCAUGGCCUAUUUCUAGCCCUAACCCUAACCCUUAGCUCCCACUCUGAUUUCAUGAGCUUUAAAUAUUAGUGCAUAAUCUUAACUCAAAAUGUAAAAUGUACUCUUAAUUGCUAACAUUACAAUUUUUUUUUGCAUUUACUCCACUUGGCAGACUCCCUUAUGUAGAGCAUCAUGCAUUUAAAUUAUUUGCAUAGAGGGUUAAGGGCCUUGUUUAAGAGCUCAGCAGUGGCAGCUUGGUAGUGCUGAUGAUCUUUACAUCUUCCCCAUUGAGCAACCGCUGUCUAUACUGUUUAAUAGUUUAUAUAGUAUCUUCUUCUUCUUCUUCUUCUUCUUUCGGCUGCUCCCAUUAGGGGUCGCCACAGCGGAUCAUCCGUCUCCACACCACCCUGUCCUCUAC